AUUGAACGCUGGCGGCAUGCCUUACACAUGCAAGUCGAACGGCAGCACGGGAGCAAUCCUGGUGGCGAGUGGCGAACGGGUGAGUAAUAUAUCGGAACGUGCCCAGUCGUGGGGAUAACGUAGCGAAAGCUACGCUAAUACCGCAUACGAUCUAUGGAUGAAAGCGGGGGAUCGCAAGACCUCGCGCGAUUGGAGCGGCCGAUAUCAGAUUAGGUAGUUGGUGAGGUAAAGGCUCACCAAGCCGACGAUCUGUAGCUGGUCUGAGAGGACGACCAGCCACACU
RNAcentral lists this ribosomal RNA (283 nucleotides) under uncultured bacterium. Its description in RNAcentral is "partial 16S ribosomal RNA". It matches the Rfam family "Bacterial small subunit ribosomal RNA", at positions 30 to 314 of the family's 1533-position model. The record is from RNAcentral.